CUGUGUUUCACUGGCAUCAAACGACACUAUACUGCUUUCAUCCCCUGAGUCUCUGUCAUCUCGAACCAAGCAGUGGCCAGAGGAAUUUCCAAUUCCUCAAUUUUCCUACGACACAGAGUUGCAGUUAGUGAAAGGUAAUUCUGAGUGCCAGGUUGGAAACAAGUUUUUGACCUUGAGCUCCCGAAUAAAAUCUGAUAUCUUGAAUAGAGUAGUUGAAGAAAUUUACCGAUAUAAGGCCUACCCGGAGGAUGCACAUUUCUGCACAGUUGCAGAGGCCUUAAUCAAAAAGCACCCUUGUUUAAAAGAGCCUGGCUCAUUCAAUGGCUGCUACGGCUGGAAACAGCGACUGAAGUACAAAAUGGGAAACUACCGGACUCAACUCAAAGUGCUGGGGUGUCCAGAGCUGUCAGUAAAUUCCCUGAGAUCGAAAUCAACGAUGGAUGCUUUCCCUGCUAAAAAGGUGAAGAGGCCAAAACGAGCCAAAGCCAACUUCUAUCCAUCCUUCCCUACUGGAGAAACUCAGGACAGCAUGGAAAAAGAGAGAAUAGAACUUCUGACAGAUGUCAAGAUAAGGAACAAUGAAAGGGUAAUCACGGACAAAAUGGCUUGCACGUUUGCCUACAGACGACAAGAGGUGGUCAACCAAGAACCCAGCAUUCAAGACAUUAAAGACCGGUGGUCUGCCUUGUUCCAUCAGAAAGAGAUCAAUGCAGAGUUCCUGAGGCUCAUGGCUGUUCCUCUUGAGGAUAAGUUCUUCGCCCAGUUAGACAUCCACUCAAGUCAGCUAAUCAGAGUCAUCCGUGCCAAAGGUGGAUCAACACGCCAAAAGAAUGCUGACAUCAUGGACAUUUUGGACCAGACUGAGGACAUUCAUCUUCGAAGGGAGUGUGUCCUGAAAGCCCUCAUCAUCUUCCUCGGCGAGGAUGCAGAUGACCUGAUCAAGGAAUAUCGUGUACGUUUCUACAGCAAUUUGCAUUUCAGCUCAUCUCAUCAUUUUUAUCCUGUAAAACAUAGACAAUUUUGUCAACUAUAAUUACUGAAACCUGUUUGGAUUGACUACAUGUUGUAUUUAUAAUAUAUGUAGUGAUUCUUGCGUAGAGCUACUGGUGAAAAGGUCGGAGUCCUGCAAAACAUCAAGACACAAAGUACUUGACCCUGUCAUGAUACCAGGCUUGGCCAAUAAUGAGAUGUGUGGCUGAGCCUAUAAAGGGCUCCAAUCCAUAAAGCACUAUUCAGUGAAAUGAAGUCGAUGUGAUUUUGCAGUUGUCUUUUACUGCGAGGCGUGAAUAAAAGUGCAAAGUGAUGACAGUGAUGUUUUGUGUCAUGUACUUCAGGACUCUGGACCAGAGGACAUUCAAAGGGAUCUGGAGAAUCUCACUGUGGCAGUGUUUGUCAUUCGAAAGGACGGGGAAGGACCGCAGGAGCCACCUGAAGACAUAGGCAUUGUCAUCGAGGGCGUGAAGGUGUUGCAUGGACUGACUUCAGUUGCCUCAGCUUGUGCCCUGCUUCUAGGUUUGCUAUAUGCACUUAACCUUGCUUAUCCCAAACCCCUUCGUUUUACUUUCGAAGUGCUCCAGAAAAUCAUCAUGCACCUUGAGCAACACAAGAUGUCUCCCAAAGUCCAAAAUCUGUAUGGCAGACUUCAAAGCUCGCAGUAAUGACACACAUCACAAUUGAUUCCUUUUCUGGACCCAAAAAUGGCCUAGGGAAGAACAAUGUUAAAGGAUAAAUCCGGUGUAAAAUGGAUCUGGGAUAUGUUUAAUAUGAUAACGAGAUGGUAUGUUCGUUUGGGUGAAAAAACGCAUGUAGACGCAUUCUUAAGUUGGCUGUUUUCAGCCGAUUCUACCAUCGGUAGAAUCCACGCUAUAAACUUGGAAUCAUGGGGGCAUCGUCUCAUGGUAAAAAUGAAAUCGCUAUUUUAAACCACUUAAAAGGCUAGAGGUAGCCCGACACUUCUUUGGUAGUAUAAUAAGGGUCUUAAAAUAUAAAACAAGGCACUGAUAACUUUGUAAGUGUACAGAUUGUUUAUUAAAAAUGACAUUUUAUACACACAAUACCAUCAGUAGUUCAUCUUUCGACGCC
Molecule: long non-coding RNA, 2082 nt
Organism: Gadus macrocephalus (Pacific cod)
Lineage: Eukaryota; Metazoa; Chordata; Actinopteri; Gadiformes; Gadidae
Exons: 3
Source: RefSeq, a predicted model, not a curated record